Molecule: ribosomal RNA, 616 nt
Filed under: Ochthebius melanescens
Lineage: Eukaryota; Metazoa; Arthropoda; Insecta; Coleoptera; Hydraenidae
Description: partial 16S ribosomal RNA
Rfam family: Bacterial large subunit ribosomal RNA (bases 379-538)
Source: RNAcentral
GUCUUUUUGAUUAUAAUUUAAAGUCUAAUCUGCCCAAUGAAAAUUUUAAAUGGCUGCGGUAUUUUGACCGUACAAAGGUAGCAUAAUCAUUAGUUUUUUAAUUGAAAGCUAGAAUGAAUGAUUGAACGAGAAAAUUUCUGUCUCAAUUUAAUUUAAUUAGAAUUUUAUAUUUAAGUUAAAAAGCUUAAAUAAUUUUUAAAGACGAGAAGACCCUAUAGAGUUUUAUAUUUUUAAAAUUUUAAAAUUUUAUAAAUUUAAUAAUUUUUAAAAAUAUUUUAUUGGGGUGAUAAUUAAAUUUAAAAAACUUUAAUUUUUAAAACCAUAAAUUUAUGAAUAAUUGAUCCAUUUAUAAUGAUUAAAAGAUUAAAUUACCUUAGGGAUAACAGCGUAAUUUUUUUUGAGAGUUCUAAUCGAAAAAAAAGAUUGCGACCUCGAUGUUGGAUUAAAAUUAAAUUUUGGUGUAGAAGCUAAAAUAUUUGAGUCUGUUCGACUUUUAAAAUUUUACAUGAUCUGAGUUUAAACCGGCGUGAGCCAGGUUGGUUUCUAUCUUAAAAUAGAUCAAAUAUUUUAGUACGAAAGGACCAAAUAUUUAUAAAAUUUAUUAAUAUUUGAAUAU